AACGCGAAGAACCUUACCAGCUUUUGACAUGCCCUGGACGGAAGACAGAGAUGUCUUCUUCUCUUCGGAGCCGGGGACACAGGUGCUGCAUGGCUGUCGUCAGCUCGUGUCGUGAGAUGUUGGGUUAAGUCCCGCAACGAGCGCAACCCUCGCCCUUAGUUGCCAUCAUUCAGUUGGGCACUCUAGGGGGACUGCCGGUGAUAAGCCGGAGGAAGGUGGGGAUGACGUCAAGUCCUCAUGGCCCUUACAGGCUGGGCUACACACGUGCUACAAUGGCGGUGACAACGGGAUGCGAAGGGGCGACCCCGAGCAAAUCUCGAAAAGCCGUCUCAGUUCGGAUUGCACUCUGCAACUCGAGUGCAUGAAGUUGGAAUCGCUAGUAAUCGCAGAUCAGCACGCUGCGGUGAAUACGUUCCCGGGCCUUGUA
This 427-nucleotide ribosomal RNA is filed under the name uncultured Alphaproteobacteria bacterium. Its description in RNAcentral is "bacterial SSU rRNA". It matches the Rfam family "Bacterial small subunit ribosomal RNA", at positions 958 to 1385 of the family's 1533-position model. The record is from RNAcentral. Lineage: Bacteria; Pseudomonadati; Pseudomonadota; Alphaproteobacteria.